Molecule: transfer RNA, 58 nt
Filed under: Sus scrofa (pig)
Lineage: Eukaryota; Metazoa; Chordata; Mammalia; Artiodactyla; Suidae
Rfam family: tRNA
About the family: Transfer RNA (tRNA) molecules are approximately 80 nucleotides in length. Their secondary structure includes four short double-helical elements and three loops (D, anti-codon, and T loops). Further hydrogen bonds mediate the characteristic L-shaped molecular structure. tRNAs have two regions of fundamental functional importance: the anti-codon, which is responsible for specific mRNA codon recognition, and the 3' end, to which the tRNAs corresponding amino acid is attached (by aminoacyl-tRNA synthetases). tRNAs cope with the degeneracy of the genetic code in two manners: having more than one tRNA (with a specific anti-codon) for a particular amino acid; and 'wobble' base-pairing, i.e. permitting non-standard base-pairing at the 3rd anti-codon position.
Source: Rfam by way of RNAcentral
UAGCUCAGUUGGUAGAGCGUGAGACUCUUAAUCUGAGGGUCCAGGGUUCAAGUCCCUG